UACGGAGGUUGCAAGCGUUGUUCGGAAUUACUGGGCGUAAAGGGAGCGCAGGCGGUUAGGUCAGUCUGAAGUGAAAGCCCGGGGCUCAACCCCGGAAGUGCUCUGGAUACUGCCUAACUUGAGUACGUGAGAGGAGAGCGGAAUUCCAGGUGUAGCGGUGAAAUGCAUAGAUAUCUGGAGGAACACCGGUGGCGAAAGCGGCUCUCUGGCACGCUACUGACGCUGAGGCUCGAAAGCGUGGGGAGCGAAC
RNAcentral lists this ribosomal RNA (250 nucleotides) under uncultured bacterium. RNAcentral describes it as "partial 16S ribosomal RNA". It matches the Rfam family "Bacterial small subunit ribosomal RNA", at positions 524 to 773 of the family's 1533-position model. The record is from RNAcentral.